GUAGGUGGCAAGCGUUGUCCGGAAUUAUUGGGCGUAAAGCGCGCGCAGGCGGUUCUUUAAGUCUGAUGUGAAAGCCCACGGCUCAACCGUGGAGGGUCAUUGGAAACUGGAGAACUUGAGUACAGAAGAGGAAAGCGGAAUUCCACGUGUAGCGGUGAAAUGCGUAGAGAUGUGGAGGAACACCAGUGGCGAAGGCGGCUUUCUGGUCUGUAACUGACGCUGAGGCGCGAAAGCGUGGGGAACAAACAGGGAUUAGAUACCCUGGUAGUCCACGCCGUAAACGAUGAGUGCUAAGUGUUAGGGGGUUUCCCGCCCCUUAGUGCUGCAGCUAACGCAUUAAGCACUCCGCCUGGGGAGUACGGCCGCAAGGCUG
RNAcentral lists this ribosomal RNA (373 nucleotides) under uncultured organism. RNAcentral's name for it is "partial 16S ribosomal RNA". It matches the Rfam family "Bacterial small subunit ribosomal RNA", at positions 527 to 896 of the family's 1533-position model. The record is from RNAcentral.